UACACUACGGCNAUGCACGGAAGUGUGACUGGGGGAUUCCGAGUGCUCAUGUAACGCAUGGGCUUUUGCCAAAGGUAAGUNCUUUGGCGAAUAAGUGGGGGGUAAUACUGGUGCCANCCGCCGCGGUAACACCAGCANCCACGAGUGGGGACCGCUAUUAUUGGGCCUAAAGCGUUCGUANCCGGCCGGGUAAAUCUCCUGUGAAAUCGCAGCGCUCAACGUUGCGGCGNGCANGAGANACUGCUCGGCUUGNGACCGGGAGGCGUAUGAGGUAUUCUGGGGGUAGCGGUAAAAUGCNAUAAUCCUCAGAGGACCACCUGUGGCGAAGGCGUNAUACGANAACGGAUCCGACGGUGAGGGACGAAAGCUAGGGGAGCGAACCGGAUUAUAUACCCGAGUAGUCCUAGCAGUAAACNCUGCGAGCUANGUGUCGCGCAUUCUACGGGAGUGCGCGGUGUCGUAGANAAGUCGUUAANCUCGCCGCCUGGGAAGUACGGUCGCAAGGCUGAAACUUAAANGAAUUG
RNAcentral lists this ribosomal RNA (524 nucleotides) under uncultured euryarchaeote. RNAcentral describes it as "partial 16S ribosomal RNA". It matches the Rfam family "Archaeal small subunit ribosomal RNA", at positions 343 to 867 of the family's 1478-position model. Lineage: Archaea; Methanobacteriati; Methanobacteriota. The record is from RNAcentral.